UCAUCUAGAGGGAUCCACCGGUACGUCCGGUCGCGGGACGUAACGGGACAUCAAACAGCGACUGGGAUCGUCAUCCUGAACUUGUUCGCGUGAGCAGGAGAUCCGAGUAGAGACACAGCGAACUGCGCACGGAGAAGCCUUGAGGGAAUGCCGUAGGACCCGGGUUCAAUUCCCGGCAGCUCCACAA
RNAcentral lists this transfer-messenger RNA (187 nucleotides) under Actinomycetes bacterium. RNAcentral describes it as "partial transfer-messenger RNA". It matches the Rfam family "transfer-messenger RNA", at positions 186 to 374 of the family's 374-position model. From Rfam's summary of the family: Bacterial tmRNA, also known as 10Sa RNA or SsrA, is named for its dual tRNA and mRNA-like properties. Its role is to liberate the mRNA from a stalled ribosome. Lineage: Bacteria; Bacillati; Actinomycetota; Actinomycetes. The record is from RNAcentral.